ACUGCAUACUAAAUAUUGUUGGCUCUGUGUCAAAUUGCUUGUUUUGUUCCUAGAUUCUUCAAUGCUGACGGCCUGCUGCACCCCAGCAGAGCUGGAGCGAACCUCCUGUCAGACAACAUCUCCAAGAUACUAUUGACCAUAAGACUAGAUUAUUAGAAACUUCACAGCACCAGGACUUGUGGGGACUUCAGAUGAUGCCAAUACU
Long non-coding RNA from Sinocyclocheilus grahami, 205 nucleotides. RefSeq lists it as uncharacterized. The record is from RefSeq and is a predicted model, not a curated record. NCBI's taxonomy places the organism in Eukaryota, Metazoa, Chordata, Actinopteri, Cypriniformes, Cyprinidae. The transcript is spliced from 2 exons.